UUGGCUUUAACUCAUUUUCGAAAACCCAA
Molecule: small RNA, 29 nt
Filed under: Bombyx mori (domestic silkworm)
Lineage: Eukaryota; Metazoa; Arthropoda; Insecta; Lepidoptera; Bombycidae
Description: ovarian small RNA-38025
Source: RNAcentral